GUGGCGAAGAAUAUUCUUCAAAGAUCGAAAAUGGUUAUUAUUUUUUCUUCAGAUGGUAUUUCAGUGACUGAAGGAUCAGCGCUAUGUUGCUAGUGACCAACUGCAGGUUAUUCAGUAUAUGCUGGACACUUUUCUUGCAAUGGACCACUUGUCAAGAUUUUGUAUUCGAAGUACACACUGUUACGAUCAUUUUUCUUGAGUACCAUUAAGUCAAUGUGCUUUAUGAAGUGGAUUGUAUCCCAUAAGUUUUAAUGUGUUGAUUUUAUUAUUUGUGUUUUUACUGUCGGUGAAAUUGUUGAAUUAUUACGUUUUUAGAAUUAUUGAAUUAUUACGUUUUAAGAAUGGGAAGUGUUGAAUGCAGUUCUUCAUCAUACAAGUUAAUUUGCUUUCCCCUUAACAAAGUUUGCUUCUUUUGCUGUGAAGACGCAGAAAAAUACAUAAUGAAAGUUAUUAGAUUUUUAGUCUUACAUUCAGUGCAAAUAUAUAUAUAUAAAGUAAAUAAUUUAGAACUAAUAUUUCACAAAGACCAGAAAUUGAAAUUCAUAAUUAAUAAAUUUCAAAUAAUCAUAUAAAUGCAACAAAGAAUUUUAAAAUGUUAAAACCAAAACAUUUCAAACAAGCAAAAUUCCACUUCACAAAAUUUAUGAAAUUUAAUGAAAAAAGAACAAAACAGAAGAAGUCAAUCAACCUCAGUGUCACUUCAUCAGGGGGUAGGAACUCUGAAAUUAAUUGAAAUCUCUCUUCUACAAAAAUCCUUGCUUUUCUGUAUCCAGAAUUAGCCUAUGAACUAUUUCAAUGUAUUUUAAGUAACACAUUAAAGUUUCCAAAAUAUUUCUUUAUGUAGCAUUGUUAGAAUUUCUUAUUUUAAACCUUAUAUGUCAUAAUAGCCAUAUUUUGCUGUAACAAUGUAAUGUUUUAUGCCAUUCGUCGUAGCAGAUGAUUUCGCCAAUUUUAUGAGUUUUGAAUUUUUUUUAGCUGUGUGCAGUUAUAAUUUUAUUUAGAUUUAAAUAUGAACAGCAGAAUUUAGGCAGCAGAAUUUAUUCCUUUUGUAUGAAUUGCUUCUUAAAUUUCAUCAAUAUUAAAUGAAAAUAACUUUUAAUCUAAAAAAACAGUUAUCUCCAUGUUCCCUAUGAGUCAUAUUUCGGGAGCAAAAAUUUACUUUUAAAACAAACGCGGUUCGAACAGCUGUUCUAAAGGUUUUGGGAAGGAAAGUUGUAUUUUGUGUUUUAAAAGAGUAGGACUUACGGUGAGUUUGCAAAGUUUUAAAAUUGUCGGGGGGCGACAUUUGAAGGACACAACUUUAUCACUCUUUAGUCUCCUACGUACACUCGGCAAAAAAAAAAGGGGUGGACAGUUCUGUCGUUCUACGGGGUCGAUUGACGAAAUUUAACUUGCUUUUUUAAUGUCUCGAAAUUGCCCUCCCAAGAGUGCCCCAGAGACACUGUAUAGGGUUAAGUCAAGAGAUAUGGCUGACCAAACCGCACUUCGAAUAGCCUCACUCUCCAAGUAAUCGUGUCGAACAUCUGAGCUCUGUGUGGAUGAGCGUUGAUAUUUAUUAACAGGAACCCAAGACCAACCGUUCCCCUGAAGAGUCAACCAUAGGGCUCUAAAAUCUCCUCUCUAUUAUACCUCAUAGCAGGCAGGGAACGUUUGUCAAAUAUAUGCAGGGGUGUGCGUGCUUACAACAUACAAUGCUUGCCCAAACCAUUACACCUCCACCACCGUAAUGAAGUCAUGGUGUCGGGUUCUAGGUUUUCUCCAAAUAUAGGUACGCCGAGAAUCAGUGCCCGGACUUAAUCUCUACUCAUCUGAAAAGUCCACUGAAUUUUGGUCCAAGGCGUAUGUUGUCUGAACCAUGCUAAAUGCACUUUCUUGAGUUCUGCAGUGAAUAGGACACAUAAAGUAGGUCUUCUGGCAACUGCAUACCGUGAAAUUUCGCGUUCCAGGGGCAACACACAGUUAACGUGAGAACUAUGAAGCUGUAGCAGUCCUGUGUCGCGGGUGUGAAAGUGCUGAAUAACGAUCCUCAUUCGCCUUUGUGGAUAUUGGUCGACCUUGUCUAGGUCUUCUGGUUAUGGAUCCAGUGUCCGGAAAUUGUAUCCACAAAUUUUAGACGACACAGGGCGUUACACUGCCCUUGUUUGUCAUAAAAUCUUGUCGAUUAGGUGGAUGGGGCUGCGCCCUAUUUGUACAGGGCGUUACACUGAGUUCUGUAGCCACCUCAGCUUGUAAUUGGCCUGCUUCCAAUUUACCGACAGUUAGUUCUAUAUCCCAUUCCGUCAUGCACACGUGAUACCUUAUAAAACCUUUGACCUGAUACCUUAUAAAAGUUACCCAAUUCUUGCAAGAAACACGGCAAACGCCGUCAAGGACUACGAGCACACAAACCAUCGAAAACCCCUCGUGCGCUUACAUCCCCUCCACAAUCAUAGCUCCGCAUUAAAUAAGCAUACGCUUAUGUAUUCGAUUCUGAAUAUUUGCAUAGUUCCUUGCCAGCAUAUUUAGUGUCUUUGAUUCAAUACUUUUAAUAAAAAUAGCCAUAAUUUGCAAAUUCUUUUAAUUUAGCAUACGAGUAUUUGUGGGUUACCUUUGGGUUUAGGAAACUUUUUCAUCAUUAAUAAUGAUUUGUUUUAAAAAACUUGGAAUUAUUACCAUUUGUUCCACUCAAAAUUCAUUCGUUUGGAGUUUCAGCCUUUUAAUCAGAAACAGCAGCAAAAAUUUAAACACAAAAUUUGAAUUUAAACCUCUUUCCGUGAGACAUCAAUAUUUUAAAGAAGAAAAUUUCUGGGAGUGUAAUAGAUUACUAUUACCAUUAUUUAUUAUGUGGUAACUCUACUAGGACUGCUGAGAAAAACUCAGUUUAUAGACGCAUUGCAUGUAAAAGCAAAUGCUGUGUUUUCGUGUGUCUGAAAAUAAAAUAAUAUUGUAUAAAUCUUAAUAUUACUUCUGGUGUAAAUCUAUUUUAUUCUAUUUAUAAUUUGUUUUAGCGAUGUAUAAGCAUAUGACUAGCAUAAAUCUACUGUAAUAGAAUAAUAUUUAUGUGUUCCAUUAUCUAUAUAACAGCAAACUAUCAUCGAAUAUAAAAACAAAAAUUAUUGAAUUCGUCAAGAAUAGCAAACUUUCAUAUAAUUUAAAUUUUUUAAUAUUUUGAUUAUUUAUUAUUUUAAAGAAGACUUACUAUUUUUACAAGUGUAUCCCGAAUCAGUGGCUUUCAGUGAUUGGUUCCCAGUGG
Molecule: long non-coding RNA, 3232 nt
Organism: Stegodyphus dumicola
Lineage: Eukaryota; Metazoa; Arthropoda; Arachnida; Araneae; Eresidae
Source: RefSeq, a predicted model, not a curated record